GGAGCGGUAGUUCAGUUGGUUAGAAUACCUGCCUGUCACGCAGGGGGUCGCGGGUUCGAGUCCCGUCCGUUUCGCCA
This 77-nucleotide transfer RNA is filed under the name Citrobacter koseri. Its description in RNAcentral is "tRNA-Asp". It matches the Rfam family "tRNA". From Rfam's summary of the family: Transfer RNA (tRNA) molecules are approximately 80 nucleotides in length. RNAcentral also lists the same sequence under 2 other names. The record is from RNAcentral. Lineage: Bacteria; Pseudomonadati; Pseudomonadota; Gammaproteobacteria; Enterobacterales; Enterobacteriaceae.